CGCCUCGCCCCCAGCCCGGACGCCGCCGAGGCCUGCCCCUGACUCCGCAUUUCUAUUAACUUUCGAAUUAAAAAGUAUUUCUUUUAAGAUCAAAAAGCGAUCAAUGCUAGUCGGAAAAAGUUCAAACAAUACCACCACCCUUCCUUCUCCAAAUCUCUCUAGAGGAAACCACUGUUUACAGAUUGAUGAGAUCAUGGGUCAGAGGCGUAAAGUGACUUGUUCAAAGUCACCCAGCAGUGUGACUCCAGUGCCUGAGUGGGAGUGGGUCAUCAUGAUGAUUCAGCCUCUCCAAGGGAACCAAUCUUUCCAAACCGUCUGGUGGAGAACAGAUGGCACAGCACCCAGGAGUCCCCGAGCUGCCCAGCCUCAAAGAUGCUCCAUUUCAGCCAAGUGGAAAAGUCAGGCAAGCAGCUUGGGAUCUGGUUCUGGCAGUCAAGGCUGGAGAAAGAAGCCCGGGAUGCUUCAGCAUAAGGAGAGGUACUUAAAACCCUGGGAGAGGAUGGGCUCACUGCGG
This is a long non-coding RNA of Homo sapiens (human), 514 nucleotides long. The record is from Ensembl. Lineage: Eukaryota; Metazoa; Chordata; Mammalia; Primates; Hominidae.